GCACCUGUGGCGGAAUUGGCAGACGCGCACGGUUCAGGUCCGUGUCUUUCACGAGGUGCAGGUUCGACUCCUGUCAGGUGCACCA
Molecule: transfer RNA, 85 nt
Filed under: Clostridia bacterium
Lineage: Bacteria; Bacillati; Bacillota; Clostridia
Description: tRNA-Leu
Rfam family: tRNA
About the family: Transfer RNA (tRNA) molecules are approximately 80 nucleotides in length. Their secondary structure includes four short double-helical elements and three loops (D, anti-codon, and T loops).
Source: RNAcentral